CCAAGGCGCUUGAGAGAACUCGGGUGAAGGAACUAGGCAAAAUGGUACCGUAACUUCGGGAGAAGGUACGCCCCUGGUAUGUGAAGCGACUUGCUCGUGGAGCAGAAGGGGGUUGCAGUGACCAGAUGGCUGCGACUGUUUAGCAAAAACACAGCACUCUGCUAACACGAAAGUGGACGUAUAGGGUGUGACGCCUGCCCGGUGCCGGAAGGUUAAUUGAUGGGGUUAGCGUAAGCGAAGCUCUUGAUCGAAGCCCCGGUAAACGGCGGCCGUAACGAUAACGGUCCUAAGGUAGCGAAAUUCCUUGUCGGGUAAGUUCCGACCUGCACGAAUGGCGUAACGACUUCCCCGCUGUCUCCAGUGUAGACUCAGCGAAAUUGAAUUCUCCGUGAAGAUGCGGAGUUCCCGCGGUCAGACGGAAAGACCCCGUGCACCUUUACUACAGCUUCACACUGGUAUUCGUAAUGACAUGUGUAGGAUAGGUGGUAGACGUUGAAGCAUUUGCGCCAGCAGAUGCGGAGUCAUCCUUGAAAUACCACCCUUGUCCUUAUGGAUAUCUAACCGCGGCGCAACAACGUCCGGGACCGUGUGUGGCGGGUAGUUUGACUGGGGCGGUCGCCUCCCAAAGAGUAACGGAGGCGCGCGAUGGUGGGCUCAGAGCGGUCGGAAAUCGCUCGUUGAGUGCAAUGGCAUAAGCCUGCCUGACUGCGAGACUGACAAGUCGAGCAGAGUCGAAAGACGGCCAUAGUGAUCCGGUGGUCCCAAGUGGGAGGGCCAUCGCUCAACGGAUAAAAGGUACUCCGGGGAUAACAGGCUGAUGAUGCCCAAGAGUCCAUAUCGACGGCAUUGUUUGGCACCUCGAUGUCGACUCAUCACAUCCUGGGGCUGGAGCAGGUCCCAAGGGUUUGGCUGUUCGCCAAUUAAAGUGGUACGUGAGUUGGGUUCAGAACGUCGCGAGACAGUUCGGUCCCUAUCU
RNAcentral lists this ribosomal RNA (976 nucleotides) under Scrippsiella trochoidea. Its description in RNAcentral is "partial Bacterial large subunit ribosomal RNA". It matches the Rfam family "Bacterial large subunit ribosomal RNA", at positions 1681 to 2643 of the family's 2925-position model. The record is from RNAcentral. Lineage: Eukaryota; Dinophyceae; Peridiniales; Peridiniaceae.